This 3404-nucleotide small RNA is filed under the name Pan troglodytes (chimpanzee). Its description in RNAcentral is "retained intron". The record is from RNAcentral. Lineage: Eukaryota; Metazoa; Chordata; Mammalia; Primates; Hominidae.
AGGCACGUGCUACCACACCUGGCUGAUAUUUGAAAUAUUUUUUAAUAUAGUAGUUCUCACUUUGCGUAGGACUAUGUUAACUCAACUUGAGCUUAUUGGAGCUGUAUCUUUGCUUUAUUUGACUUUUGGUUACACAGUACCCUGCAUAGCAAGGAUUGCCUAUAUAAAUUUUAAUGAAAGCUAAUUCCUAAAUAUUACUAUUAUUUUACGCAUGUUUGAUUUGUGAACCACAUUUAAUAAUUUCUCAUUUUGAAGCUUUUUCUUUUUUUGAGACAGAGCUUUGCUCUGUCACCCAGUCUGGAGUGCAGUGGUGUGAUCUCCACCUCCCCGGUUCAAGUGAUUUCUUUUGCCUCAGCCUCCUGAGUAGGUGGGAUUAUAGACCUGCACCACCAUGCCCAGCUAGUUUUUGUAUUUUUAGUAGAGACGGGAUUUAACCAUGUUGGCCAGGAUGUUCCAAACUCCUGGCCUCAAGUGAUCUCCCCGCCCUGGCUUCCCAAAGUGCUGGGAUUACAGGUGUGAGCCACCUUGUCCGGCCUUCAUUUUGAAACUUCUUGAGCAUGCUCCUAAGCGUGUAAAUUUGUGGCUGCUGCUUUCUCUGGAGGUACAGUUUUUAUAACAUGAUGCAAGAUGGAUCAUGGAAAAGCUAAUGUAGCAGUUUGUAUUACUCUAUAAUGUGAAGCAGCAUCUUGCAAAAUGGUGAUUUUGUGUGUUUAAAAUUUUUAAAAAUAAUUAUAAAAUAUAUAUCAUUAGGAAUUCUUUUCUCUCUGAAAUAUUUUCAUUUUUUUAGUAAUCAACAAGAUGCCACAUCAGUAGCAACUGAGUCUUCAGAAUCAAGCACUUCAGAUUUGCCUUCAUUCGAAGUUGGAAUUAGAGCAUUGUGUGAGGUGAAUAAUGCUGAGGGUAGUUGUAUAGAAGAAAGAAAUGUUGACCUAAAAAAUAAUUCACUGGAAAUUGAUCAAACAGAAAAUGUUAAACCAAUGUUGAGAGGUCGCUUCCAGAGACCUAAACCCAAUUUGUCAAGGGCUGGGAAGAAAUCAGUUCUUUCACAAGGCAAAACAGAGUCAGAGAGCAAGAAUUCACAUUCAAAAACUUCAGUUGAAAAGAACCACGUGGAAAAAGAUAAAAUGAAUACAUUGGACAUUUUGAGAAUGGAGACUGCAGAGAGAGAGAAUCCAGAAGCUGAAACUGUAUCUGUUUUGGGUGAAAAAAAUUGUCUGCAGGAAGGGAGUCAACUAAAGGCUUUAAGACCUGCACAAGUGAGGGGCCGAUUGCAAAAGCCAAAGCCAAAUGCAGGUAAAGCUGCCGAAAGAAAAGAAAUUCUCAUAUCACAGGAAGAAAUUGGGGCCAAUGUAGAGAAGAAUGAAAAUGAAUCCUGUGCUGAUAGAGAUACUCCUCAACACAUGGAAGAUCAAUCACGUAAAGAUUUUGAAGAGGAAGAUGUCAUAUUACAGCCUGAGAAAAAUGAUUCUUUUCAAAAUGUGCAGCCAGAUGAGCCCAAGGUUCUUAAUGAAUGUCUAAGCGUUCAAGAGAAUAAUAAGGCAAAUAAACUUAACCAAGUCCCAAUUCUAAGGACUCGAUUUCAGAAACCAAAGCCAAAUAUAGGAAGAGGAACUGGAAGGAGAGAAAUUUCCUCAAAGGAAGAGGUACUAGAGAAGAUUCUUGUCUCUGGGGAAAUGGUGGCAGCAUUGAGAGAAACCGUAAGACUAGACACCUCACCAAAGGAGAUGGUACCAGCAGAGAUUAAUACUAAAGAAAUGCAGUCAGAUUUAAAAGAAACUGGAAGAAGAGCCAUUUCUCCCAGGGAGAAGAUUCUAGAUGUGAUUGAUGUCACCAUGGAAAUGGAGACAGGUCUGAAAGCAAUGGGAAGAGAGAUUUGUCUAAGGGAGAAGACGCCAGAGGUGGUUGAUGCCACUGAGGAAAUAGACAAAGAUUUGGAAGAAGCUGGAAGAAGAGAAAUAUCCCCACAGAAAAAUGGCCCAGAGGAGGUUAAGCCUCUAGGUGAAAUGGAGACAGAUUUGAAAGCAACUGGAAAUGAGAGUUCCCCAAGGGAGAAGACACCAGAGAUGACUGAUGCCACUGAGGAAAUAGACAAAAAUUUGGAAGAAACUGGAAGAAGAAAAAUAUCCCCAAGGGAAAAUGGCCCAGAGGAGGUCAAGCCUGUAGAUGAAAUGGAGACAGAUUUGAACGCAACUGGAAGAGAGAGUUCUCCAAGGGAGAAGACACCAGAGGUGAUUGAUGCUACUGAGGAAAUAGAUUUGGAAGAAACUGAAAGAGAAGUAUCCCCACAGGAAAAUGGACUAGAGGAGGUCAAGCCUCUAGGUGAAAUGGAGACGGAUUUGAAAGCAACUGGAAGAGAGAGUUCCCCAAGGGGGAAGACACCAGAGGUGAUUGAUGCCAUUGAGGAAAUAGAGAUAGAUUUGGAAGAAACUGAAAGAGAAAUAUCCCCACAGGAAAAUGGCCUAGAGGAGGUUAAGCCUCUAGGUGAAAUGCAAACAGAUUUGAAAGCAACCGGAAGGGAGAUUUCCCCAAGGGAGAAGACACCAGAGGUGAUUGAUGCCACUGAGGAAAUAGACAAAGAUCUGGAAGAAACUGGAAGAAGAGAAAUAUCCCCAGAGGAAAAUGGCCCAGAGGGGGUCAAGCCUGUAGAUGAAAUGGAGACAGACUUGAAAGCAACUGGAAGAGAGAGUUCCCCAAGGGAGAAGACACGAGAGGUGAUUGAUGCUGCUGAGGUAAUAGAGACAGAUUUGGAAGAAACUGAAAGAGAAAUAUCGCCACAGGAAAAUGGCCCAGAGGAGGUCAAGCCUGUAGGUAAAAUGGAGACAGAUUUGAAAGAAAUUAGAGAAGAAAUUUCCCAAAGGGAAAAGGUGCUAGCAGAGAUCAGUGCUAUAAGGGAAAAGGAGAUUGAUUUGAAAGAAACUGGAAAAAGAGACAUUCCCAUGAUGGAGAAAGUAUCAGGAAAGAUGGCUGUUGUUGAAGAAAUGGAGGCAGAUUUGAAAGAAACUGGAAAAGAAAAUUUUAGAGAGAGAGGAUCUGAAGAGAUCUGUGUUACUGAGGAAAAGGUGGCAGAAUUGAAACAAACUGGAAAAACAGACAUUUCUCCAAGGGAAAACGAGCUAGAGGAGACCAGUACCUCAAGACAAACUGACACACAUUUAAUGCAGAGCGGUAGCAAUGACUGCAGUGCUAUGCCUUCACUAGAUAUUCAAGUAUGUAUUUUUCUGUCCUUUAAAAGUUUUUUGAAUGCUUUUUUCAGAGGAAAUAAAUAAUUCCAUGAUUAUUUUGUCCUUAAGUCCAACAACACUUAAAAAUCUCUAAAAGUCUAAAGUCUUUUGUAGCCCUAAGUUUCUAUGUUUCAGUGCCUUGAAGAAACUGUACGUUCUUUUUUAAAAAGAUAACUUAGGCUG